UCUGGUGGCGAUGGCAAAGUGGACACACCUGUACCCAUCCCGAACACAGAAGUUAAGCACUUUAACGGUGACAAUAGCUGGACUUGCUCCCGUGAAGAUAACUAGCUGCCAGGU
This 114-nucleotide ribosomal RNA is filed under the name Dielma fastidiosa. Lineage: Bacteria; Bacillati; Bacillota; Erysipelotrichia; Erysipelotrichales; Erysipelotrichaceae. The record is from RNAcentral.